Molecule: ribosomal RNA, 545 nt
Filed under: Stilbopteryx costalis
Lineage: Eukaryota; Metazoa; Arthropoda; Insecta; Neuroptera; Myrmeleontidae
Description: partial 16S ribosomal RNA
Rfam family: Bacterial large subunit ribosomal RNA
Source: RNAcentral
UGUUUAUCAAAAACAUGUCUUUUUGAUUAUAAUAUAAAGUCUGACCUGCCCACUGAUUUUUGAAGGGCCGCAGUAUUUUGACUGUGCAAAGGUAGCAUAAUCAUUUGCCUUUUAAUUGGAGGCUGGAAUGAAUGGUUGGACGAGGUGUAAGCUGUCUCAUUUUUAAAAUUAUAAAAAUUUAGCUUUUCAGUUAAAAGGCUGAAAUGCUGUUAGAGGACGAGAAGACCCUGUAGAACUUUAUAGGUUUGUUGAAAUAAAGAUUCUAGUAAGUUAAUAUUUUUUUUUCAAGAACUUAUUUUGUUGGGGUGACAUAAAGAUUAACGUAACUCUUUAAAUUUUAAUACAUUUAUUUAUGAAUUUUUGAUCCGUUAUUAAUGAUUAUUAGAAUAAGUUACCUCAGGGAUAACAGCGUAAUUUUGUUGGAGAGUUCAUAUCGAUAACGAAGAUUGCGACCUCGAUGUUGAAUUAAAGGUGUUUCUAAGUGCAGAAGCUGGGAGAAUGGGUCUGUUCGACCUUUAAUCUUUACAUGAUCUGAGUUCAAACCG